CCUACGGGAGGCAGCAGUGGGGAAUAUUGCACAAUGGGGGAAACCCUGAUGCAGCGACGCCGCGUGAGUGAAGAAGUCCUUCGUUAUGUAAAGCUCUUUCAGCAGGGAAGAAAAUGACGGUACUUGAGUAUGAAUACGCGGCUAACUACGAGCCAGCAGCCGCGGUAAUACGUAGGGGGGAGUCGUUAUCCGGAUUUACUGGUGGUAAAGGGAGCGUAGACGGCAGUGCAAGACUGGAGUGAAAGGCGGGGGCUCAACCCCCGGACUGCUCUGGAAACUGUAGGGCUGGAGUGCAGGAGAGGUAGGUGGAAUUCCGAGUGUAGCGGUGAAAUGCGUAGAUAUUAGGAGGAACACCAGUGGCGAAGGCGGCUUACUGGACUGUAACUGACGUUGAGGCUCGAAAGCGUGGGGAGCAAACAGGAUUAGAUACCCUUGUAGUC
RNAcentral lists this ribosomal RNA (440 nucleotides) under uncultured bacterium. Its description in RNAcentral is "partial 16S ribosomal RNA". It matches the Rfam family "Bacterial small subunit ribosomal RNA", at positions 338 to 795 of the family's 1533-position model. The record is from RNAcentral.